AGUGAACGCUGGCUGUAGGCCUAACACAUGCAAGUCGAACGGCAGCACAGUAAGAGCUUGCUAUUACGGGUGGCGAGUGGCGGACGGGUGAGGAAUACAUCGGAAUCUACUUUUUCGCGGGGGAUAACGUAGGGAAACGUACGCUAAUACCGCAUACGACCUACGUGUGAAAGCACGGGAUCUUCGGACCUUGCGCGAGUGAAUGAGCCGAUGUCGGAUUAGCUAGUUUGCGGGGUAAAGGCCCACCAAGGCGACGAUCCGUAGCUGGUCUGAGUGGAUGAGCAGCCACACUAGAACUGAAACACGGUCCAGACUACUACGGGAGGCAGCAGUGGGGAAUAUUAGACAAUGGGCGCAAGCCUGAUCCAGCCAUACCGCGUGGGUGAAGAAGGCCUUCGGGUUGUAAAGCCCUUUUGUUGGGAAAGAAAGGCAGCAGGUUAAUACCCCGCUGUUCUGACGGUACCCAAAGAAUAAGCACCGGCUAACUUCGUG
Molecule: ribosomal RNA, 492 nt
Filed under: uncultured bacterium
Lineage: Bacteria
Description: partial 16S ribosomal RNA
Rfam family: Bacterial small subunit ribosomal RNA
Source: RNAcentral